RNAcentral lists this small RNA (88 nucleotides) under Serratia marcescens. RNAcentral's name for it is "partial RtT sRNA". It matches the Rfam family "RtT RNA", at positions 43 to 130 of the family's 130-position model. From Rfam's summary of the family: This family represents a bacterial cis-regulatory element known as RtT RNA. The exact function of RtT is unknown although it is thought that it may be involved in changing the cellular response in relation to amino acid starvation. Lineage: Bacteria; Pseudomonadati; Pseudomonadota; Gammaproteobacteria; Enterobacterales; Yersiniaceae. The record is from RNAcentral.
UCGAGCCUCGCGAAGCGAGACAACGUUGCUUCAGCAACGGCCCGCAGGGCGCGCAUCCAAGAUGCGCGUAAUCCUCUCUCGCCGACCA